This 243-nucleotide ribosomal RNA is filed under the name uncultured Actinomycetales bacterium. RNAcentral's name for it is "partial 16S ribosomal RNA". It matches the Rfam family "Bacterial small subunit ribosomal RNA", at positions 88 to 334 of the family's 1533-position model. The record is from RNAcentral. Lineage: Bacteria; Bacillati; Actinomycetota; Actinomycetes; Actinomycetales.
UACUCGAGUGGCGAACGGGUGAGUAACACGUGGGUGAUCUGCCCUGCACUUCGGGAUAAGCUUGGGAAACUGGGUCUAAUACCGGAUAGGACCGAACUUUAGUGUGUGUGGUGGAAAGUUUUUUCGGUGUAGGAUGAGCUCGCGGCCUAUCAGCUUGUUGGUGGGGUAAUGGCCUACCAAGGCGGCGACGGGUAGCCGGCCUGAGAGGGUGUACGGCCACAUUGGGACUGAGAUACGGCCCAG